UUUAACAAAUUAAGGCUUCUUUACAGAAGUGUUUUGAAAGCACUACCCAAGGGUAAAUCCUUAAGGG
RNAcentral lists this transfer RNA (67 nucleotides) under Tetragnatha moua. RNAcentral describes it as "tRNA-Ser". Lineage: Eukaryota; Metazoa; Arthropoda; Arachnida; Araneae; Tetragnathidae. The record is from RNAcentral.